CUCAGGAGGGAUGUUCCAGACGCCCUCCUCCUGCUCCAUCAUGGUCUGAUUUUGCUAUAACAUGAACACUGGGCUCCCAAAAUGAUUUGGGAGGGAUUCUUCUUUUCUAUUUUCUGGAGGAGUCUCUUUUUUAAGUAGGCUUAUAGCUAUGAAUUCCAUUGUCUUAAUGGAUUUAAGGGUAUUCACAUGAUCUAUUUGGUUUUGAGAGAGCUUGAAUAGUUUGUGUAUUUCACACUACUUUUACUUUUAUCUUCUUAUGUAUGUUAUCACAUUUUUGGCAUGAAAUACUUCUUUUCUUUGCCCUGUUCCCAUGCCAAUGUGUGGGGUCUGUCGUAAUGACCACAGAGAGGUCUUGGCAAGCCGUGGUUUCAGGAGCUGGCAGGAGCAGUGCCUCCCGGAGCCCACGAAGGUGAAUAGGAUGCCACCUGCUUCCUUCCUGGCAACGAGACGGGAAGGAGAGGAAACAUCGUGGAGCAUGAGGAGAAGGCCGUUUUCUCCGUCUCGGUCUCCCUGGUCCUGGAGGGCCAGCAGGGUUGGACAUGCGGGGGACCAGCCAGCUCGGGGCACUGCUGUUCUCCGUGGUGGCUUCCCGGAGGGCGGUGUGGCCCGGGGUGGGCUCACAGUAGGACAAAUCGAGACAGCCAGGGUGUCUGCCGAGUGGAUGAAGGAGGGGGCAGGGUGUGACUGUGGCGUGAAGAGUGCUGUUCCACCUCUCGAUCCGUUAGUGAGCGGAAGAGUGGGCUCUGCUGUCUCAGGCCGCGCCCCCCGACGCUGCCCGGGUCAGGCUGUGCGGGCUCCCAGGCCAGAGCCCGGGGCGGGCUGGGGCUGGGCCUGGUGCCUGGGAGGCUGGCGUCACCAGGCAGGCCCGGGCUCGGUCUCUCAGUCCACACUCUGCGGGAAGUGA
Molecule: long non-coding RNA, 904 nt
Filed under: Chinchilla lanigera (long-tailed chinchilla)
Lineage: Eukaryota; Metazoa; Chordata; Mammalia; Rodentia; Chinchillidae
Description: lncRNA (ENSCLAG00000028991.1)
Source: RNAcentral